RNAcentral lists this unclassified non-coding RNA (377 nucleotides) under uncultured Gammaproteobacteria bacterium. RNAcentral's name for it is "contains 16S-23S intergenic spacer region". The record is from RNAcentral. Lineage: Bacteria; Pseudomonadati; Pseudomonadota; Gammaproteobacteria.
UCCGGUUCCUCACCGGCAGUCUCUUUAGAGUCCUCAGCUUAACCUGUUAGUAACUAAAGACAAGGGUUGCGCUCGUUACGGGACUUAACCCAACAUCUCACAACACGAGCUGACGACAGCCAUGCAGCACCUGUCUCUGGGUUCCUUUCGGCACUCCGACCUCUCAGCCAGAUUCCCAGGAUGUCAAGGGUAGGUAAGGUUCUUCGCGUUGCAUCGAAUUAAACCACAUGCUCCACCGCUUGUGCGGGCCCCCGUCAAUUCAUUUGAGUUUCAACCUUGCGGCCGUACUUCCCAGGCGGAGAACUUAUCGCGUUAGCUUCGAUACUGCUAGGUUCCCCUAACAACAUCUAGUUCUCAUCGUUUACAGCGUGGACUAC